CCUACGGGGGGCAGCAGUGGGGAAUAUUGCACAAUGGGGGAAACCCUGAUGCAGCCAUGCCGCGUGUGUGAAGAAGGCCUUCGGGUUGUAAAGCACUUUCAGUAGGGAGGAAGGUAGUGUAGUUAACACCUGCAUUAUUUGACGUUACCUACAGAAGAAGCACCGGCUAACUCCGUGCCAGCAGCCGCGGUAAUACGGAGGGUGCGAGCGUUAAUCGGAAUUACUGGGCGUAAAGCGCAUGCAGGCGGCCUGUUAAGUCAGAUGUGAAAGCCCGGGGCUUAACCUCGGAAUUGCAUUUGAAACUGGCAGGCUAGAGUCUUGUAGAGGGGGGUAGAAUUUCAGGUGUAGCGGUGAAAUGCGUAGAGAUCUGAAGGAAUACCAGUGGCGAAGGCGGCCCCCUGGACAAAGACUGACGCUCAGAUGCGAAAGCGUGGGGAGCAAACAGGAUUAGAUACCCGGGUAGUC
This 465-nucleotide ribosomal RNA is filed under the name uncultured bacterium. RNAcentral's name for it is "bacterial SSU rRNA". It matches the Rfam family "Bacterial small subunit ribosomal RNA", at positions 338 to 795 of the family's 1533-position model. The record is from RNAcentral.